UGUACUUCUUCCUCCCCCCCUCCACCUUCUCACUCUAACUUCUCAUCUCUUUCUCCAGUCCUGAUGUAGGGUCUCGGACUGGAACCUCGACUGUUCACUCCCUUCUAUGGACGUUGAGUUCCUCCGGCGUUUUGAGGGUGCUGCCUUGCGAUAUGCUUUAAACCUGGCUGUGGGCGUACGGUCUGCGACACAGAUGUUUUCAAACCACAUUGAGACGGAGGAGGAUCAGUAGCAGUUAGACAGCAGCCUCGGAUCAACACCACAGCCCAGAAGGGAGUAAGGACGAACACCUUGGACUGCUGCAAGAGGACAGACAUCCAACACAUUCAGAAGAUCAGUGGUGCUGGACUGAUGAGUCUGCAGAUAAAACCAAGAUUGGGGCACGGUGACAAAAGUUAUCGAAGCUUGCAGCAUGAUCUUUACAAGAUCAAAUCAUUAUACCAGAUCCUGAACCAUCAGGGACCUGGAAGAAGAUGGCGUCAGCGAACAACGCGGCCAAGGGCGACAUCCUUCACACGAUUUGCCAAGCUACUUCUUUUG
Molecule: long non-coding RNA, 540 nt
Organism: Hypanus sabinus (Atlantic stingray)
Lineage: Eukaryota; Metazoa; Chordata; Chondrichthyes; Myliobatiformes; Dasyatidae
Exons: 3
Source: RefSeq, a predicted model, not a curated record